Molecule: long non-coding RNA, 727 nt
Filed under: Homo sapiens (human)
Lineage: Eukaryota; Metazoa; Chordata; Mammalia; Primates; Hominidae
Description: non-protein coding lnc-HEATR5A-3:1
Source: RNAcentral
AGAUUCUUCUUUAGAAAUUUGUGUAGAAUCUCUGUCUAGUUUAUUAAAGCAUGAAGAUCAUCAGGUUUCAGAUGGAGCUCUGCGAUGCUUUGCAUCACUGGCUGACCGAUUUACCCGUCGUGGUGUUGACCCAGCUCCAUUAGCCAAGCAUGGAUUAACUGAGGAGCUGUUAUCUCGAAUGGCUGCUGCUGGUGGUACUGUUUCAGGACCAUCAUCAGCAUGCAAACCAGGUCGCAGCACCACAGGAGCUCCAUCCACCACUGCAGAUUCCAAAUUGAGUAAUCAGGUGUCAACAAUUGUAAGUCUGCUCUCAACACUUUGCAGAGGCUCUCCGGUAGUAACACAUGAUCUUCUGAGGUCGGAGCUUCCAGAUUCAAUUGAAAGUGCAUUGCAGGGUGAUGAAAGAUGUGUGCUUGAUACUAUGCGUUUGGUUGACCUUCUCUUGGUGCUAUUAUUUGAAGGACGAAAAGCUUUGCCAAAGUCUAGUGCUGGAUCUACAGGCAGAAUCCCAGGACUCCGGAGAUUAGAUAGUUCUGGGGAGCGCUCACAUCGGCAGCUUAUAGAUUGUAUUCGAAGUAAAGAUACCGAUGCACUUAUAGAUGCAAUUGACACAGGAGGUCAGAAAAUAUUUUUUUAAAUAUAAAAAGAAAGUUGUGAGAUAACCAUAUAGGCAGUUUCUAGUUUUCGGACAGUACUCUUAGAAAUCCAGAUAACAAAGUGGCACCCC